Molecule: ribosomal RNA, 672 nt
Filed under: uncultured Lachnospiraceae bacterium
Lineage: Bacteria; Bacillati; Bacillota; Clostridia; Lachnospirales; Lachnospiraceae
Description: bacterial SSU rRNA
Rfam family: Bacterial small subunit ribosomal RNA
Source: RNAcentral
ACUUUUGCGGAUUUCUUCGGAUUGAAGCAAUUGUGACUGAGCGGCGGACGGGUGAGUAACGCGUGGGUAACCUGCCUCAUACAGGGGGAUAACAGUUGGAAACGGCUGCUAAUACCGCAUAAGCGCACAGUACCGCAUGGUACCGUGUGAAAAACUCCGGUGGUAUGAGAUGGACCCGCGUCUGAUUAGGUAGUUGGUGGGGUAACGGCCUACCAAGCCGACGAUCAGUAGCCGACCUGAGAGGGUGACCGGCCACAUUGGGACUGAGACACGGCCCAAACUCCUACGGGAGGCAGCAGUGGGGAAUAUUGCACAAUGGGGGAAACCCUGAUGCAGCGACGCCGCGUGAGCGAUGAAGUAUUUCGGUAUGUAAAGCUCUAUCAGCAGGGAAGAAAAUGACGGUACCUGACUAAGAAGCCCCGGCUAACUACGUGCCAGCAGCCGCGGUAAUACGUAGGGGGCAAGCGUUAUCCGGAUUUACUGGGUGUAAAGGGAGCGUAGACGGCAUGGCAAGCCAGAUGUGAAAGCCCGGGGCUCAACCCCGGGACUGCAUUUGGAACUGUCAGGCUAGAGUGUCGGAGAGGAAAGCGGAAUUCCUAGUGUAGCGGUGAAAUGCGUAGAUAUUAGGAGGAACACCAGUGGCGAAGGCGGCUUUCUGGACGAUGACUGACG